Dreissena polymorpha is the source of this 2777-nucleotide long non-coding RNA. RefSeq lists it as uncharacterized. The transcript has 3 exons. The record is from RefSeq and is a predicted model, not a curated record. Lineage: Eukaryota; Metazoa; Mollusca; Bivalvia; Myida; Dreissenidae.
UUAAAAUAUAUUCAGUCCUGUAUGAUCAUACAAAUAGGCGCGCGACAAAGCUGCAUUGACUCAAUUUCGAAAUUAUCAAGGUAAGCCAUUUGUCUGUAUUGGGUGGCCGAAACCGCGCUGAUGUGUGCCGGCGCAGUAAGCCAUUUGUCUGUAUUGGGUGGCCGAAACCGCGCUGAUGUGUGCCGGCGCAUUCUGAAGCAUUGCAUGUCAAAUGAGGUGGCCAACCAGUACAGCUGGCAUGGGAGGAAGAAAAAGGCAGUAUUUGGAAAACUUCCAUUGGCUGAUGCUGUGCAGAAAGCUGUCAUGCGGUCCUUGAAAUGCACAGCUGAAGAAGUUGAACAUGAGUGCAGGGAAUGGUUUAGAACAGCCUCUGACCGUGACGGUGGAAGAAAAAAGAGGACAGCCAAAAAAAGUGAUGAACCGUCCCAAUGAAUUUUAACUCGUCUGUGUUUGAACUUUUAAUUUAGUCUCCUGCUGCAAUUUGUUAUGAUGUAAAGGUCUCUUUGAACUUGAAAUUAAUGAUUUUACACAACUUUUCUUCUAAUAUGCAUAAUGAUGGAAGCAGUGUAUAUUUUUUUUUGUUUUUUUUUGCCUUUAUUACCUAAAUAGCUGUAACUCUGUGUGUUACUUAGGUAAACGUAACUUUUCAAUAUAUUCUUGUUCUAAUUGUUUUCAUUUGUCAUUUUUGAAGAAAACAAGUUUCAUGUAGUUUGUAUUAAUAUGUAAGACAAUUUUCUCGUAAUAUGUUUUAUUCAAAACUUUCUAGAAAUGCCCAUAAUUUAUGUCUAAGUUCAGGGGACAUACAAGGUGUUUAUUUCUGAAAAUACUCAAUUAUAAAAACCAAUUCCCUCAAUUCAUUUUGAAUUUGAUAAGUGACAGAACUCAAUUAUUUUUAUUUUCAAGUGAUCAUUUCCUGGCGAAAACAACAAAUAAUUUUAAUAUAUGUUAGUUUAAGGUAUUUAUAACCAUAAUUUUUAUGUAAAUAAGUCCCAGUAAACUACCCAAUUAUAUAUCAUUCAGCAAUCUAUUGCUCUGUCCUACUGCAAUGUAUUCAUUAACAAAUACUGGCUGCUUUAUACUGCAUAGCAUUAUUAGUUCUCUUUAAAGGAAUGGUCUGACUUAAUGGCUUUUUUUUUCAGUAUUUUGGGAAUGUGACCCCAUUCCAUGAAAUUGGGAAAUGUUGUGUCAAUAUAUAUAUUUACCUGCAGUUCAGAAAAAGUACAACUGAUUAACUACAAGUCUUAUUCCACAUUUCACAGCUAGUAUUAACCAUUUAAGACUAUUCAACAAUGAGGAAUUGCUUGACUAGAUUUAGGGGAAAAAAAUGUGUUAUGCCAUUGAGAACAUGGCCCAUUACCUUAAAGCGAGAUUUCUAGUCACUUGUACAUUUACAUUUUGUGCCAUUACUAUGUUGUGUUUUUUUUGCUGGAUAGCAAUUUGCUGAAUUUACUUGUUACAAUUUUUUGUGUAUCGCAUUACUGCUAUGUUGUAUUUUGCUGACUAGUCUUGUUACUAUUUUUUGUGUAUCAUAUGACUACAUUGUUGUAUUUUGCUGACUAGUCUUACUUGUUACUAUUGAUUGUGUAUCGUAUGACUACUAUGUUGUAUUUUGCUGACUAGUCUUAUUUGUUACUAUGUUUUGUGUAUCGUAUGACUACUAUGUUGUACUUUGCUGACUAGUCUUACUUGUUACUAUUUUAUGUGUAUGGUAUGACUACUGUUGUAUUUUGCUGACUAGUCUUAUUUGUUACUAUUUUGUGUGUAUCUUAUGACUACUAUGUUGUAUUUUGCUGACUAGUCUUACUUGUUACUAUUUUUUGUGUAUCGUAUGACUACUAUGUUGUAUUUUGCUAACUAGUCAGAAUUGUUAGUAUUUUAUGGGUAUCGUACGCUAUCCAGUUUAAAGAAAGGGUUAUUUUAUUAAUUGCCAGGGUAUAUAGACCAGUUUUGAUAAUAUGGGUGAUAUGAACCAUUUAUACAUGCAUGUUUGGUAAUUUUCCAUGUAUACAAUAUGCGUGUUGGAUACGUUGGUUUUCUUCAUAAUUCUCUAUUUUAUUUUCAUUUGCCGAAUAUUCUAUUACCAAAAUACAAAACUCAAGUCAUUUGGUCAUUUAAAAUUUUGUUUCAAUGUGUUACUUUUUCAGUUUCUGUACCUGUAGAAUUAUAGAGUCUGUUUAAAUAAUCUCUUUUACAUUUGUUGUUAGUCAAUGUAUAUAUUAAUUAAUUUUACACCAUUAGAAUAAAAAUGUUGGAAUUAGUAAUAAAUCAGUUUAAUAUUUUCAGUUUCAAGACAGUCGUAUAAUUAGCAAAUACUGUGUUCCAGUUUGGUUGAAAAGAAUGUAAAAAUAAAAUGUUGUCUGAAGAAAAUGUUCUUUCAUUUAUUUAAGAAACUGUUUUAGGCCCUUAACACUACCAACAACAAUUAAAAACAAUUGAGGCUAGACAGGGACUGAGGAAUGGUUAAAAGUAUGUCGGCACCAUGCUGGCUCAAGAAGGUAUCGCCGAUAUACAUACCAAUGUCGGGCCAACAUCGAGCCGUGUUGCACUCCCGAUCUCGGGCCGAUAUACAUACCAAUGUCGGGCCAACAUCGAGCCGUGUUGCACUCCCGAUCUCGGGCCGAUGUAAUUACCGAUGUCGGGCCGAUAUACAUACCGAUGUCGGGCCAACAUUGCGCCGUGUUGCACUCCCGUUGUCGGGCCGAUGUAAUUACCGAUGUCGGGCCGAUAUUGAAAUAAAUAUCGGGCCGAUAUCGGACCGAUUUAAAAUGUUUGCUGGG